RNAcentral lists this ribosomal RNA (440 nucleotides) under uncultured bacterium. RNAcentral's name for it is "partial 16S ribosomal RNA". It matches the Rfam family "Bacterial small subunit ribosomal RNA", at positions 338 to 795 of the family's 1533-position model. The record is from RNAcentral.
CCUACGGGAGGCAGCAGUGGGGAAUAUUGCACAAUGGGGGAAACCCUGAUGCAGCGACGCCGCGUGAGUGAAGAAGGAUCUCGGUACGUAAAGCUCUAUCAGCAGGGAAGAAAAAGACGGUACCUGACUAAGAAGCCCCGGAUAACGACGGGGCAGCAGCCGCGGGAAAACGUAGGGGGCAAGCGUUAUCCGGAUUUACUGGGUGUAAAGGGAGCGGAGACGGGAGCACAAGGCUGGAGUUAAAUCCCGGGGCUUAACCCCGUAACUGCUUUGGAAACUGUGCGGCUGGAGUGCAGGAGGGGUUAGCGGCAUUCCUCGUGUAGCGGUGAAAUGCGUAGAUAUUAGGAGGAACACCGGUGGCGAAGGCGGCUUACUGGACUGUAGCUGACGUUGAGGCUCGCAAGCGUGGGGAGCAAACAGGAUUAGAUACCCCAGUAGUC